This 465-nucleotide ribosomal RNA is filed under the name uncultured bacterium. Its description in RNAcentral is "bacterial SSU rRNA". It matches the Rfam family "Bacterial small subunit ribosomal RNA", at positions 33 to 507 of the family's 1533-position model. The record is from RNAcentral.
GACGCUGGCGGCGUGCUUAACACAUGCAAGUCGGAACGGAAAGGCCCUGCUUUUGUGGGGUGCUCGAGUGGCGAACGGGUGAGUAACACGUGAGUAACCUGCCCUUGACUUUGGGAUAACUUCAGGAAACUGGGGCUAAUACCGGAUAGGAGCUCCUGCUGCAUGGUGGGGGUUGGAAAGUUUCGGCGGUUGGGGAUGGACUCGCGGCUUAUCAGCUUGUUGGUGGGGUAGUGGCUUACCAAGGCUUUGACGGGUAGCCGGCCUGAGAGGGUGACCGGCCACAUUGGGACUGAGAUACGGCCCAGACUCCUACGGGAGGCAGCAGUGGGGAAUAUUGCACAAUGGGCGGAAGCCUGAUGCAGCAACGCCGCGUGCGGGAUGACGGCCUUCGGGUUGUAAACCGCUUUCGCCUGUGACGAAGCGUGAGUGACGGUAAUGGGUAAAGAAGCACCGGCUAACUACGUG